CUUAUGGAAGCACGGAGGCCUCCGUGCUUCCAAGUUGUUUUCGAUGUUAGGACUUUCGAAUCGACGAUCAGCUCCGUUAGACUUGAUCUAGAGUAUUUGAAGCACCUAGAAAAUAAAUUUUGCGAUUUUUCGAUAUCAUUUGCCUAGUGAUCAAAGGGGCUCAAAAUCAACGGCUAAAAAUAAAAAUCUCACAAAAUGUGAUGAUAUGACAUUAAAAAUUUAGAUCAAAGAUAUUGAUCUUAUUUUAUAUAGUAUAAAAAAUUUUCUAUCAAAAUUUCACGUGAUUUGGAUAUUUCUACACCGUUAAACUUGCAACCGGCUCACCACGACCAUUAAAAUUAUCGAUUUUGACCCCCUUCGAUCACUAGGCAAAUGAUAUCGAAAAAUCGCAAAAUUUAUUUUCUAGGUACUUCAAAUACUCUAGAUCAACUCUAACGAAAACGAUCAUCGAUUCGAAAGUCUGAACAUCGAAAACAACUUGGAAGCACAGAAGCCUCCGUGCUUCCAUAAGCAUACCAGCCAAACUCUAUAUAUAUAUAAUAUAUAUACAGCAGAGCUGCUGUGCUCUCAGGAGCACGGAGGUCUCCGUGCUCUUGAGCCGUUUUUGAUGAUGGAGUUUUCGAAUCGACGAUCGGCUCCGUUAAACUUGAUCUACCGUAUUUAAAGUUUCUAGAAAAUAAUUUUUGCGAUUUUUCGAUAUCAUUUACCUAGCAAUCGAAAGGAUUCAAAAUCAAUAAUUUUUAAUGGCUGAAAAUAAAAAUCCUAUAAAAAGUGGUGAUAUAGCACUAAAAUUUUCGAUCAGAAAUAUAGAUCUUGUUGUAGAUAGUAUAAAGAAUUUUCUAUCAAAAUUUCAUCUGAUUUGAAUAUUUCUACACCGUUAAACUUGAAAACGGCAGAUAUCAACCAUUAAAAAUUAUGAAUUUUGAAUCCUUUCGAUCACUAGGUAAAUGAUAUCGAAAAAUCACAAAAAUUAUUUUCUAGAAACUUCAAAUGCGCUAGAUCAAGUCUAACGGAGCCGAUCGUCGAUUCGAAAACUCCAUCAUCAAAAACGGCUCAGGAGCACAGCGUCCUCCGUGCUCCUGAGAACACAGCAGCCCUGCCUCUUUUAUAUAUAUAUUAUAAUUGACUAUAUACUAUCUAUAGUAUCGGAGCUCCGGUACUAUAGUCUUGUUUUCGAUCUUAGGGUGCUCAAAUUAACGAUCCACACCGUUAAAUAUGAUCUAGGGUUUAUGAAGUUCUUAGGAAUAAAAUUUUAGUUUUUUUCGACAUCGUUUACUUAGUAAAUAAAUUAUGUCAAAAUGGACGGUGGAAAUUGAAUAAUCUUUAAAAUUUGAGUAUAGGACUUUUAAAUUCAAGAUCAAGAAUGUUAACCUUAAUCUAGAUAGUUUAAAGUAUUUUCUAUCAAAAUUUGAAGAAAUUUAGAUUUUUCUACACCGUUAAACUCCAAACUCGCCAUAGUAGCUUUUGAAAAUUGACAAUUUUGAAAUGGUUUGAUCAUAAAGUAAACUAUGUCAAAAAAAUAUAAAAUUUUAUUUUUAAAAAUUUUAAAUAUCCUAGAUCAGUUGUAACGGUGUGGAUCGUUGAUUUGAACACUCUAAGAUCGAAAACGAGACUAUAGUACCGGAGCCAUAUAUAUAUAUAUAUAGGCUAAAAUACUAUUAAUAGUAAAACGCUCUUUUUGCUAUCAAGUUUUUAAUCUUUGGAUGAAAAAUUAUAGGGUCAGGAUGAUAUUAGUCGGUUAGAGUUGAGUGGUCCCCCUAGGAUUGAGUGGUCCCCACUGGGUUAUAGUAUUUAAUCCAAUGGUUAGAAAUAAUGAAAAGAGUUGAUCCAAAGGCUAAAAAACUGAUAGCAAUAAUGGGAUUUUGCUACUAAUAGUAGCCCAGUCCAACUCUCUCUCUCUCUCUCUCUCUCUCUCUCUCUCUCUCUCUCUCUCUAUAUAUAUAUAUAUAUAUAUUGGAGUGAGGCUACUAUGCUAUCGGAAGCACGGAGCCUUCCGUGCUCCCAGCUCGUUUUCGAUGUUGUGACUUUCGAAUUGUCGAUCGGUUCCGUUAAACUUGAUCUAGAGUUUUUGAAGUACCUAGAAAAUAAAUUUUAUGAUUUUACGAUAUCAUUUGCCUAGUAAACGAAGGGGCUCAAAAUCAACGGCUGAAAAUAAAAAUCUUACAAAAUGUAAUAAUAUGACAUUAAAAUUUUAAAUCAAAGAUAUUAAUCUUGUUUUAUAUAGUAUAAAAAAUUUUCUAUCAAAAUUUCACGUGAUUUGGAUAUUUCUACACCGUUAAACGAGAAAACGCCUCUAAUUGACCAUUAAAAUUACAAAUUUUGAAACCCUUUAAUCAUUAGGCAAAUGAUGUCGAAAAGAUUUGAAAUUUGAUUUCUAAACAUUUCAAGUGGUAUAGAUCAUGUUCAACGGAGCCGAUCGUCAAUUUGGAAGCUCUAUCAUCGAAAACAAAUAGGUAGUAAAACGGCUCGUUUACUACUGAUAGUAGUCUAGCAAAACUCUCUCUCUCUCUCUCUCUCUCUCUCUCUCUCUCUCUCUCUCUCUCUCUCU
This 2548-nucleotide long non-coding RNA is filed under the name Ananas comosus (pineapple). RNAcentral's name for it is "long non-coding RNA (ACOM_LNC038773)". Lineage: Eukaryota; Viridiplantae; Streptophyta; Magnoliopsida; Poales; Bromeliaceae. The record is from RNAcentral.